Cydia amplana is the source of this 295-nucleotide long non-coding RNA. RefSeq lists it as uncharacterized. The transcript is spliced from 2 exons. The record is from RefSeq and is a predicted model, not a curated record. Lineage: Eukaryota; Metazoa; Arthropoda; Insecta; Lepidoptera; Tortricidae.
GUUUACCUUCUCACAAGGUUUAUAAAGCGAGACACGGUAUUAAAUGUUAGUAAUAAAUAAAAGUCCUACGAAAUGAAAGUACGAGCGGUGCUUCUUGUGGUCCUACUGGCCCUGUCUGCUACAUUCUCGGCAGCGCAGAUUUUCUCCUCGCGUCGUUCCAUGACAUGCGUCAACAACAAAUGCCAGUGCGUCGGUGACGGCUGCUGAGCGGCCAUUUUGUCUUCAAAACAAGAUGGCGGACGGCGUAUGAUUUUAUAUGUUUUAAUGUAACGAUUGGAAUACGAUUUGUUUUUUA